GAUGAAGAACGUAGCGAAAUGCGAUAAGUAAUGCGAAUUGCAGAAUCCGUGAGUCAUCGAAUCUUUGAACGCAUAUUGCGCCCUUUGGUAUUCCGGGGGGCAUGCCUGUUCGAGCGUCAUUUCACCACUCAAGCCUCGCUUGGUAUUGGGCAACGCGGUCCGCCGCGUGCCUCAAAUCGUCCGGCUGGGUCUUCUGUCCCCUAAGCGUUGUGGAAACUAUUCGCUAAAGGGUGUUCGGGAGGCUACGCCGUAAAACAACCCCAUCUCUAAGGUUGACCUCGGAUCAGGUAGGGAUACCCGCUGAACUUAAGCAUAUCAAUAAGCGGAGGA
Molecule: unclassified non-coding RNA, 330 nt
Filed under: soil metagenome
Description: partial contains 5.8S ribosomal RNA, internal transcribed spacer 2, and large subunit ribosomal RNA
Rfam family: 5.8S ribosomal RNA (bases 1-119)
Source: RNAcentral